AGAUGUGAGGGCAAUCUGCACAUCUGUCACACCAUUGAUCACCAGGGUUGAUUUGGCUAAUCUGGCUGGCUAGGCAGAUGUCCCCUUCCUCCCUCAACACUCCACGUACAGUCCCUCCCCAAAAUGUGCUUGUUUGGUCUAAGAAGAAGAGGAUGACCUUCCCCAAUAGAUGAGGACUGGUCUUCAGUCAAGGGUAUAUGAGUGGCUGCACUCCCCUGCUAGAACCUCCAAACAAGCUCUCAACUAAAAAACAUUCUCUUAAAUCCUCUGGGGAAAGACCCAUGUUACUACAUUUGGGCUAUACCCUUAUCUCUCUCAGCUAUACAUUUAA
Molecule: small nuclear RNA, 331 nt
Filed under: Nannospalax galili (Upper Galilee mountains blind mole rat)
Lineage: Eukaryota; Metazoa; Chordata; Mammalia; Rodentia; Spalacidae
Description: 7SK RNA (ENSNGAG00000003504.1)
Rfam family: 7SK RNA
About the family: 7SK was discovered as an abundant small nuclear RNA in the mid-70s but a possible function has only recently been suggested. Two independent studies have found that 7SK RNA binds the CDK9/cyclin T complex (known as elongation factor P-TEFb). P-TEFb activates transcription by phosphorylating the C-terminal domain of RNA polymerase II.
Source: Rfam by way of RNAcentral